Molecule: ribosomal RNA, 506 nt
Filed under: uncultured bacterium
Lineage: Bacteria
Description: bacterial SSU rRNA
Rfam family: Bacterial small subunit ribosomal RNA
Source: RNAcentral
UUAUGGCUCAGGAUGAACGCUAGCGACAGGCUUAACACAUGCAAGUCGAGGGCAGCAUAGAAGUAGCAAUACUCGGUGGCGACCGGCGCGACGGUGAGUAACGCGUAUGCAACCUACCUAUCAGAGGGGAAUAACCGGCGAAAGUCGGACUAAUACCGCAUAAAACAGGGGCACCGCAUGGUGAUAUUUGUUAAAGAAAUUCGCUGAUAGAUGGGCAUGCGUUCCAUUAGGUAGUUGGUGAGGUAACGGCUCACCAAGCCGACGAUGGAUGGGGAACUGAGAGGUUGGUCCCCCACACUGGUACUGAGACACGGACCAGACUCCUACGGGAGGCAGCAGUGAGGAAUAUUGGUCAGUGGGCGGGAGCCUGAACCAGCCAAGUCGCCGUGAAGGAGGAAGGAUCUAUGGUUCGUAAACUUCUUUUGCAGGGGAAUAAAGUGCAGGACGUGUCCUGUUUUGUAUGUACCCUGAGAAUAAGGAUCGGCUAACUCCGUGCCAGCCGCUGC